Molecule: ribosomal RNA, 429 nt
Filed under: Bacteroidota bacterium
Lineage: Bacteria; Pseudomonadati; Bacteroidota
Description: Bacteroidetes bacterium partial 16S ribosomal RNA
Rfam family: Bacterial small subunit ribosomal RNA
Source: RNAcentral
UAGGGAAUCUUCGGCAAUGGGGGGAACCCUGACCGAGCAACGCCGCGUGAGUGAAGAAGGUUUUCGGAUCGUAAAGCUCUGUUGUUAAGGAAGAACGAGUGUGAGAAUGGAAAGUUCAUGCUGUGACGGUACUUAACCAGAAAGGGACGGCUAACUACGUGCCAGCAGCCGCGGUAAUGCGUAGGUCCCGAGCGUUGUUCGGAUUUAUUGGGCGUAAAGCGAGCGCAGGCGGUUAGAAAGUUCUGAAGUGAAAGGCAGUGGCUCAACCAUUGUAGGCUUUGGAAACUGUUUAACUUGAGUGCAGAAGGGGAAGAUGGAAUUCCAUAUGUAGCGGUGAAAUGCGUAGAUAUAUGGAGGAACACCGGUAGCGAAAGCUGCUCUCUGGUCUGUGACUGACGCUGAGGCUCGAAAGCGUGGGGAGCGAACAGG